CCUACGGGAGGCAGCAGUGAGGAAUAUUGGUCAAUGGGCGCGAGCCUGAACCAGCCAAGUAGCGUGAAGGAUGACUGCCCUACGGGUUGUAAACUUCUUUUAUAAAGGAAUAAAGUGCGGCACGUGUGCAUUUUUGUAUGUACUUUAUGAAUAAGGAUCGGCUACCUCCGUGCCAGAAGCCGGGGUAAUACGGAGGAGCCGAGCGUUAUCCGGAUUUAUUGGGUUUAAAGGGAGCGUAGAUGGGUUGUUAAGUCAGUUGUGAAAGUUUGCGGCUUAACCUUAAAAUUGCAUUUGAUACUGGCAGUCUUGAGUACAGUUGAGGUAGGCGGAAUUCGUGGUGUAGCGGU
Molecule: ribosomal RNA, 347 nt
Filed under: uncultured bacterium
Lineage: Bacteria
Description: partial 16S ribosomal RNA
Rfam family: Bacterial small subunit ribosomal RNA
Source: RNAcentral